This 329-nucleotide ribosomal RNA is filed under the name uncultured bacterium. RNAcentral's name for it is "bacterial SSU rRNA". It matches the Rfam family "Bacterial small subunit ribosomal RNA", at positions 568 to 898 of the family's 1533-position model. The record is from RNAcentral.
CGUGCAGGCGGCCUGGUAAGUCCCGUGUGAAAGCCUACGGCUCAACUGUAGGAGGCCGUGGGAUACUGUCGGGCUCGAGGGCAGGAGAGGGAAGUAGAAUUCCCGGUGUAGCGGUGAAAUGCGUAGAUAUCGGGAGGAAUGCCAGUGGCGAAGGCGGCUUCCUGGCCUGUCCCUGACGCUGAGACGCGAAAGCUGGGGGAGCGAACGGGAUUAGAUACCCCGGUAGUCCCAGCCGUAAACGAUGGUCACUAGGUGUUGGGGGGCAAUCCCUCAGUGCCGAAGCUAACGCAUUAAGUGACCCGCCUGGGGAGUACGGCCGCAAGGUUGAA